UCACCCAGGCUGGAGUGCGGUGGGGCGAUCUCGGCUCACUGCAACCUCCGCCUCCUGGGUUGAAGCGAUUCUCCUGCCUCAGCCUCCCGAGUAGCUUGGAUUACAGGCAUGUGCCACCACGCCCGGCUAAUUUUUUGUAUUUUUAGUAGAGAUGGGGUUUUGCCAUGUUGGCCAGACUGUUUCUCUACAAAAAUAAAAAUAAAAAAAUUAGAUGGACUGUAUUCCUGGAGAGUGGGGGUGGUGAAGGGGAGUAGGCUCAGUCAGGAAGAUUACUUGAGCCCAGGAGUUCAAAGCUGCAGUGAGCUAUGAUUGUUCCACUGCACUCCAGCCUGGGUGAUAGAGUGAGACCUGUCCUAAAAAAGAUAGAUAAAUAAAAUACAAUAAAUCUCAUGUACUAUUCAAAUUAACUUAAAAUGACAUCUGCACUCCUACUGUAUUUCUGCUGGACAGCACUGCUUUAGUAGCUGCAAUUUUGUUUCACAUCUUGGGUAGCCUCAAUAGCUGCUAUGGUUUGAAUGUCUCCUCCAAAGCUCAUGCUGAGAUUUAAUUGCCACUGAGGUGAUUAGAUCACGAGGGCUCUGCCCUCAUGAAUGGAUUCAUAUUCUUAUCACAGGGUUUGACCUCCUUCUUCCUGUCCCGCUCUCCUGCCUUCCAUCCUUCCGCUAUGGAUGAUCCUCACCAGAUGCUGGAAGCAUGCUCUUGGACCUCUCAGGCUCCAGAACUUUGAGCCAAAUAAACUUCUCUUCUUUGCAAAUACCCAGUCUGUGGUAUUCCGUUAUAGCAGCAGAAAACAGACUAAGACAAUAGCUCAGAAUCAAACAUAACAAAGAGAAAAACACACAAGAAGGACAGUAGACUGGAAAAGAGGAAUUCAAGUAUUUCUUCGCCAAUAUUUUUUUUUUUUGAGAUGAAGUUUCACUCUUGUCACCCAGGCUGAAGUGCAAUGACAUGACCUCGGCUCACUGCAACCUCUGCCUCCCGGGUUCAAGUAAUUAUCCUACCUCAGCCUCCUGAGUAGCUGGAACUAUAGGCAUGCACCACCACGCCCGGCUAAUUUUUUGUAUUUUU
RNAcentral lists this long non-coding RNA (1068 nucleotides) under Homo sapiens (human). RNAcentral's name for it is "HSALNT0242904". Lineage: Eukaryota; Metazoa; Chordata; Mammalia; Primates; Hominidae. The record is from RNAcentral.